GCACUGGUGGUUCAGUGGCAGAAUUCUUGCCUGCCAUGCAGGAGACCCAAGUUUGAUUCCUGGCCAAUGCG
Molecule: transfer RNA, 71 nt
Filed under: Procavia capensis (Cape rock hyrax)
Lineage: Eukaryota; Metazoa; Chordata; Mammalia; Hyracoidea; Procaviidae
Description: tRNA-Gly (GCC) (tRNA-Gly-GCC-9-1)
Rfam family: tRNA
About the family: Transfer RNA (tRNA) molecules are approximately 80 nucleotides in length. Their secondary structure includes four short double-helical elements and three loops (D, anti-codon, and T loops).
Source: RNAcentral